UUUAAGAGCUGGAGGAUGGAUAAGAUUGGAGAGCUGAUGAGCAACAUUUAAAGAAGGAUUAUUUCUGAAAACGUGCAUGAGUCAGAAGUGGGGAAUGAGUAAUACUUGCUUUGGACUUUAUGAAUGUCUCACUGCUGAAGGGCCAUCAUCUAGUUUUUUCAGUAAGGCGUAUGCGGGCCACCAGCACAACAUGGCUGCUAACAGAGUGGUAUAGAUCUGCACCAAGAAACCAAACCUAGGCUGCUGGAAUGGAGCAUGCUGAACUGAACCACUAGGCCACGGGGGCUUGCCCAAGACCUAUCUUUUUAGAGUAAUGUUAAGAGCAAAACGUUUUCUCUCUGAAUACAUAGCUUGUAAAACUAAAGUGGGACAGCAACUGCAUUAUGGUUUUAGGGAAGAAUACAAUACUUAUUAAGAAUUCAGUAAUACAAUAAUGAGCUAUAUUUUUCUCUUUCCUUCAUUAGUUCAAGAUAUGACUCAUGUCACCAGUGUGUAUGUCACCCACUUUUUUGAGCGUGGGCUCAAGAAUAAAGAUAAGAUUUUGAAGUCUGUGUUUUGAAAAUCAA
This 566-nucleotide long non-coding RNA is filed under the name Equus asinus (donkey). RNAcentral describes it as "lncRNA (ENSEASG00005035814.1)". Lineage: Eukaryota; Metazoa; Chordata; Mammalia; Perissodactyla; Equidae. The record is from RNAcentral.